GGGCAAUUAAUCUAAAAAAGAUAAUUGAUUUCGGCUCAGUAAAUUGUGGUUAAACUCCACAAUUGCCCU
Molecule: transfer RNA, 69 nt
Filed under: Protopterus aethiopicus (marbled lungfish)
Lineage: Eukaryota; Metazoa; Chordata; Ceratodontiformes; Protopteridae
Description: tRNA-Arg
Rfam family: tRNA
About the family: Transfer RNA (tRNA) molecules are approximately 80 nucleotides in length.
Source: RNAcentral